This 455-nucleotide ribosomal RNA is filed under the name uncultured bacterium. Its description in RNAcentral is "SSU rRNA". It matches the Rfam family "Bacterial small subunit ribosomal RNA", at positions 26 to 518 of the family's 1533-position model. The record is from RNAcentral.
AGAAUCAACGCUGGCGGCGUGCCUAACACAUGCAAGUCGAACGAGAAAGUCCGCAAGGAUGAGUAAAGUGGCGACCGGGUGAGUAACACGUGACUAACCUACCUUUUAGUGGGGGAUAACUCCGGGAAACCGGGCUAAUACCGCAUAACAUCGCAAGAUCAAAGCAGCAAUGCGCUGGAAGAGGGGGUCGCGGCUGAUUAGCUAGUUGGCGGGGUAAUGGCCCACCAAGGCGAAGAUCGGUAUCCGGCCUGAGAGGGCGCACGGACACACUGGAACUGAAACACGGUCCAGACUCCUACGGGGGGCAGCAGUGGGGAAUUUGCGCAAUGGGGGAAACCCUGACGCAGCAACGCCGCGUGGAGGAUGAAGUCCCUUGGGACGUAAACUCCUUUCGACCAAGACGAUAAUGACGGUACUGGUGGAAGAGCACCGGCUAACUCUGCGCCAGCAGCCGC